Molecule: long non-coding RNA, 300 nt
Organism: Beta vulgaris subsp. vulgaris (sugar beet)
Lineage: Eukaryota; Viridiplantae; Streptophyta; Magnoliopsida; Caryophyllales; Amaranthaceae
Exons: 2
Source: RefSeq, a predicted model, not a curated record
GGGAACAUAAUCCUCCACUCGUUAGAGUUGACUAAAACGCCCUCAUUUUUAUAAGUCUCAUCAUCCUCGAUAAAUAAGGGUUGUCUCAUCAAACAAAGCUCGAGCGUCGGAGGGGUUUCCCGUGAACACCUCCUGGCCAGUUUUUCGUUGUAUUUUGCAGGAUUGUAGGAGACCUAUUCCUCGGCUCUUCAGACCUUUUCGGAAUUUCAAGACUCUCAACACUACAAUAAUUUUUGACAGUUUCUAGACAGAAACAAUUUGUAAAAUAUCAUCCUUAUAAAUAUUAUUUGUUUUUUAUGA